AUUGGUUUGCUGGCACCAUGUCUGAUGGAUUCUGUCACUGGCAGCUGCUUGGAAGCAGAGGUUCAGGAGCUCCCUGCAAAUGGGUAAUCCAGAAAAUUCCACUCUUCCCUGAACCCCUGGAUGAAAGGCAGAAGAUGGCAUUUUGUGUGAAAUACAUCUGUUGAAGCAUCAAGAAACUUACUAUAGAAGUGGCACCACCUCUUUCUGCUGAUGGACUCCUAGAUGUUGCGACCUCUGAAAUAUUGUGGCAACUCAUGUGUCUGCCCAGGACUUUCAGUCGUUACCAGGCAUGCUGUGACCAUUGGAAAACCUCAGGAAGAGACAAGACAGCUACAACCCAAGCUCACCAAAGGAAUCUCUGUCCCAGGAGCACCUAUCACGGCAGUCAGUGCAAGGCACAUCCACACUCCCCUUGUGGACAGCAGUAUCCUGGUUUAACAGAAAGGGUUGCAUCAUCCUUUCUUUUCCUGUGCCAUGGAAAGUUCUGCAUGCGGAUGAAGCGGAGAAUACGAAUGGAGAGCGUGAUGUAUCCCUGAGGAGACACUGAUCCUUUAGGUGUCAUAGUGACCUCCUGGCAUCCAAGGCUUGAUCCUAGCCUCGAGCUAGGAACCCUCCCAGCUAAGCAGGGCUGUGAAGGCUUGGUCAUUAAUACAGCGUCGAACUGCACCUCUCUCUUCUCCGGGGAAGCGUUGCCAAAGCCGCCCAGCUCGCUCGGUGAAGCGUGCUGCUUUUGUCCGUGGCAGGUAACGCCGUGCAAUCUUCC
Molecule: long non-coding RNA, 763 nt
Organism: Dromaius novaehollandiae (emu)
Lineage: Eukaryota; Metazoa; Chordata; Aves; Casuariiformes; Dromaiidae
Exons: 5
Source: RefSeq, a predicted model, not a curated record